Molecule: ribosomal RNA, 253 nt
Filed under: uncultured bacterium
Lineage: Bacteria
Description: partial 16S ribosomal RNA
Rfam family: Bacterial small subunit ribosomal RNA
Source: RNAcentral
UACGUAGGGUGCGAGCGUUGUCCGGAAUUAUUGGGCGUAAAGGGCUCGUAGGCGGUUUGUCGCGUCGGGAGUGAAAACCUCGGGCUUAACUCGGGGCUUGCUUUCGAUACGGGCAGACUGGAGGUAUGCAGGGGAGAACGGAAUUCCUGGUGUAGCGGUGAAAUGCGCAGAUAUCAGGAGGAACACCGGUGGCGAAGGCGGGUCUCUGGGCAAUAACUGACGCUGAGGAGCGAAAGCGUGGGGAGCGAACAGG